This 681-nucleotide long non-coding RNA is filed under the name Fukomys damarensis (Damara mole-rat). Its description in RNAcentral is "lncRNA (ENSFDAG00000033217.1)". Lineage: Eukaryota; Metazoa; Chordata; Mammalia; Rodentia; Bathyergidae. The record is from RNAcentral.
GUGACUAAUAAAUCAUCCUAUGAAUGCUGGGAUCUGGUCAAUCAGAUCAGCCCUUCUUCCUCUGCUUACUCAACACUGAAGAUGUGUAUAAUGCGAGACAUCUGUCCUCUUUCCAUCUGGGGGCCGAAAAGGCCUGGGCUCGGGCAGAACACAGAGUAUCAAGAGCAGGAACAGAUGCUCGCCCCCACUGCCCACCUUCAGAUGCCCAACUAACAUAUGUCAGUGUAAAUGAAGGGUUAAAAGGAAUCAACACGUGGCCAGACGUCUGACCUGUUAAACUGACAGCCAACUUCACACAGCAGCUCCACGAUGAAAGACACUCAAUAAAUAUUUGAAGUAAUUAAUGAAUUACUUAGUCAUGCUAAAAGACUUUGACCUAGCCUCUUUAGUUCCCACCAGUUGUCCUCCAGAUGAUAACACCAGCGAUCACUGUAAGCCACAGCACUGACCCCACCCCUCCACCACGUGUACCUGCCAUCCAUGGCUCCCUAUAGCACAUAUGGGACACAGUGAGAGGUGUUCAGGGCCACCCUCAGGGAGACCAUGCACCAGAACCCCAGCCACCUCCUCCCUGCCUCUAGCUUCCUCUCACACAGUCCCAUUCACACUCUGGGUUCCAACCAGAGUGAACAACAGCAGUGCCCCAGGCUGGUACUUGUACCUGUAUCCCUUCAGUUGCUG